AGCUUUGUGCAGUGGCAGUAUUGUAGCCAAUGAGGUUUACCUGAGGAGCAAUUAUUGCUAUUUGAAAAUUUCACAGGCUUUUUAAAAAUUAAUCCCUAUUAUUUUAUUUCUAUAUGGACAUAUA
This is a small nuclear RNA of 124 nucleotides. Its record names the gene U4. It matches the Rfam family "U4 spliceosomal RNA". Rfam says of the family: U4 small nuclear RNA (U4 snRNA) is a component of the major U2-dependent spliceosome. The structure of U4 snRNA from yeast and human has been reported. The record is from Ensembl.